UACGUAGGGUGCGAGCGUUGUCCGGAAUUAUUGGGCGUAAAGAGCUUGUAGGCGGUUUGUCGCGUCUGCUGUGAAAAUCCGGGGCUCAACCCCGGACUUGCAGUGGGUACGGGCAGACUGGAGUGUGGUAGGGGAGACUGGAAUUCCUGGUGUAGCGGUGGAAUGCGCAGAUAUCAGGAGGAACACCGAUGGCGAAGGCGGGUCUCUGGGCCACUACUGACGCUGAGAAGCGAAAGCAUGGGGAGCGAACAGG
This 253-nucleotide ribosomal RNA is filed under the name uncultured bacterium. RNAcentral's name for it is "partial 16S ribosomal RNA". It matches the Rfam family "Bacterial small subunit ribosomal RNA", at positions 524 to 776 of the family's 1533-position model. The record is from RNAcentral.